CAGCCGUAAACAAUGUGCGUUAGGUGUGUCGGUAACCACGUGUUACUGAUGCGCCGAAGGGAAACCGUGAAACGUGCCGCCUGGGAAGUACGGUCGCAAGGCUGAAACUUAAAGGAUUGGCGGGGGGAGCACCACAACAGGUGGAGCCUGCGGUUUAAUUGGACUCAACGCCGGGAAGCUCACCGGAUAGGACAGCAGAAUGAUUGCCGGGCUGAAGACCCUGCAUGACUAGCUGAGAGGAGGUGCAUGGCGUAGACGUCU
RNAcentral lists this ribosomal RNA (261 nucleotides) under uncultured archaeon. Its description in RNAcentral is "partial 16S ribosomal RNA". It matches the Rfam family "Archaeal small subunit ribosomal RNA", at positions 748 to 1009 of the family's 1478-position model. The record is from RNAcentral.